UCUUGCUACAUUCGCCGCUCCGGCUCCCGCCCACGCGCGGCCGAGUGACGCAGAUCCCGGCGUGGGCCGCCGCCGGGCGGGGGCGGGGGCGGCCGUUGGGGGCGGCCGUUGGGCCCGGGGCUCGGCCCCUUCCUACCGCCCCCUCCGCGGAAUCCGGAGGACGGCCCAUUCACACGGCAGCUGGGAGGAACCAAGUGGGCGCCGGGAGUGGGCGGCUCCCGCGAGUCCCGCUCCGGGCGCGGGGAGGGGACGACCAGGAGGGAGACGGGUGGGGGACGCCGCCCCGGGCCUGCUCUCCAGCUGCGGAGUGAACUGGGAAGGUUUGCAAUUAAAAAAAAGAAUUAUGUGUGAGGUUCCCGAUAUAGUAUUUCAAAGAGCACACCCGCCAAAUCCAACAUCCUCUAGGAGGCUGACUUGAAAAAAAAAAAAAAAAAAAAAAAACAGCGCGCCGGGCUCCCCUCGCCCCCGCAGGCUCGAGGCAGAGGCGGGGAGGCAGAUGAUCCAGGUGCGCCGCUGCCCGGGGGGCGAGGCGUCCGGCGGGAAGGCGGCAGCGACCGCACGGAGGAAGGGGCGGCAGGUGCGCGGCGCUGGAAGAACCGGCGGCUGGGGGAGCAUCUCUGCCUCGCCCAUCUUGCCCCCUCCCCACCUCCGCUCUGGCGUUGGGACGGGAGGAGGAGGGAGGAAUGGAACCAGGGAGUCCGAAGUACAGCUUUGACAACUGUCGCACUGGCCGGGUUUUGUCACUCACGCCAUUCCUAAUACCUCCUCCCGACUCCAGCACACACACAGUCUUCUCCCACUCCCACACCCUGAGGAUUUGUUAGAGGAAAGCAAAGAGAUGCACAUUCCAUCCUGGAAGAUAACAAUUAUGGUGUCUGAUUAUCCUCUGAAGGCCCUCUGGAAGAAAUCAAACAGUUUCAAGGCUUUAGAGUGUUCUUGGAGGCAUCCCAGACAGGUGUCUACACUGCAGCCAAAGGACCCAGCAGCUGGAGUACCCCUGUGAAGCACUCCUCAUGAGGGUGGAUGGAGGAUUUUGUUUGUUUCCUUGACAAAGGUGUGUGACUUGUCAGCCAAGAUGUUGGCUUUUUCAUGAAAGGAGCAAGGAAAUAGGAAGAGAGCAUGUUAAGGAAGAGAGCCCUUCUUGAAGCAAAUGGGCAAGAAUUGGAAGGAAGUGGGGAAGGAGGAUGGAGACUACAGAAGAUGUGCCUGUACUUAUGAGAAGUGACUAAAGUAGACAUAGCUAUUUUGGGAGAAGUGAAAAGCCAAAGAAAAAGUACCAAGUAAAGGGCUCCCCUGAAAAAAAAAUGGAAAGAAAAGGCAGAGGGGGCAAAGAAGAGAUCAUCCUCACAUAAACUCCUCUAAACCAGCCUCUUGACGUGGGACAGAUGGGAGUGUUGGGAUGGAGUAGUUGGGACAGAUCUGCAUGGAGAAGGGGCAGAGAAACAGCAGCCAGUCUUCUCUCUUUGCUUGGAUUGCAAGAGGUAAGUGUCAGGGAAAGGAAAGAAAAGCAGAAUGGGUUCAAAAACUGCCCCCAGCACACCAAAUACUUUACCAUGCUGAUUCAGAGAGCAUCCUGAGUUGCAGUAUCACCCAUCUAGCUA
Nomascus leucogenys (northern white-cheeked gibbon) is the source of this 1601-nucleotide long non-coding RNA. RefSeq lists it as uncharacterized. Lineage: Eukaryota; Metazoa; Chordata; Mammalia; Primates; Hylobatidae. The record is from RefSeq and is a predicted model, not a curated record. The transcript has 3 exons.